GCAGUUUUUUUGGCUGUUUGCUUUUCUAAGUACUAGUGCCGCAGGAGUUAGGUUCGUGUCCGCAAUACCUCCUGCUGCCCAAGUGCUUAUUAAAGCGGCAUUGAACCCAACAAG
RNAcentral lists this microRNA precursor (114 nucleotides) under Drosophila guanche. The stretch from base 18 to 98 matches the Rfam family "mir-252 microRNA precursor family". Lineage: Eukaryota; Metazoa; Arthropoda; Insecta; Diptera; Drosophilidae. The record is from RNAcentral.